GGCGUGCCGAACACAUGCAAGUACGAACGCGAAAGUCCCGCAAGGGAUAAGUAGAGUGGCAGACGGGUGAGUAAUGCAUAGGUAAUCUACCCUUGAGUGGGGGAUAACUCCGGGAAACCGGUGCUAAUCCCGCAUAAUUUCCGGAUGCACAAGUAUUCGGAUCAAAGGGGGGGAUCCUUCGGGACCUCCUGCCUGAGGAUGAGCCUAUGUCCUAUUAGCUAGUUGGUGAGGUAACGGCCCACCAAGGCUUUGAUGGGUAGCCGAGCUGAGAGGCUGAUCGGCCACACUGGAACUGAAACACGGUCCAGACUCCUACGGGAGGCAGCAGUGGGGAAUUUUGCGCAAUGGGCGAAAGCCUGACGCAGCGACGCCGCGUGAGGGAUGAAGGU
This 389-nucleotide ribosomal RNA is filed under the name uncultured bacterium. RNAcentral's name for it is "bacterial SSU rRNA". It matches the Rfam family "Bacterial small subunit ribosomal RNA", at positions 41 to 415 of the family's 1533-position model. The record is from RNAcentral.